RNA transcript from Hevea brasiliensis (rubber tree), 3334 nucleotides. It is a transcript of the gene named multisubstrate pseudouridine synthase 7, with no coding region annotated. The transcript has 21 exons. The record is from RefSeq and is a predicted model, not a curated record. NCBI's taxonomy places the organism in Eukaryota, Viridiplantae, Streptophyta, Magnoliopsida, Malpighiales, Euphorbiaceae.
UAAGCUGAAAGCCUAGAACCGCGUAGUGCAGCGACACAACCAGUGUCAUCGCGGUGCUUUUCGGUAUUCAGUAGUAAAACCCUACCAGUCGUUGUCCUGCUGUUUCUUAGCAACUCUAAUGGCAACCGCCAAAACGACCACAGAUGAAUCUGACGUUGGCAUCUUAUGCUAUAUCUCUCAACUCCCUGGCUUUCGCGGGAUUCUCAAGCAAAGAUACUCCGAUUUUAUAGUGAACGAAGUUGAUAACGAUGGAAAUGUAGUUCAUUUGACCUCUUUGGAAGUUCCUGCACAGCUUGCUGAGGCCGCAGAGGAGGGAGAGAAUAAGGUAUCGAAUCAAAUUGGGAAAAGUUACGCUUCUGAAAUCGAAGCGUUCAGGUCACUUGCUGGUGAUUCUGAUGGGGAGCGUUUUGAAGCUUUUCUCACUCAAUUUACUGCGGGAAGUGAAGAAAGCAAUAACAUUUCGCCAAUCCUUCUUUCUCCGGAUUCUGAUAAGGCCCAUCGAACGGCAAUGCAUAAUUUCUUCAAGGAGAAGUUCAAGUUCCUUGUUACUGAUACGGUUGAUGGACCUGAUGCUUCAUCUAAAUGUAUUCGGGUGAGAUUGAAUCCUGGAGGACAUAACAAUGGAGGUAGAAAUUCCAAGAAACGGAAGGACAGAAGUGGUAAGCCCUUUGAUAGCCGAGGUUCAUAUCAUUGGCCAGAGCACCUUGGCAAGUUUCUCAGGUUUCACCUCUACAAGGAGAAUAAAGAUACACAGGAAGCCAUAGGAUUAAUAGGAAAGAUGCUUGGCAUUCAGCCAAGAUCUUUUGGGUUUGCGGGCACAAAGGAUAAGCGCUCUGUGUCAACCCAAAGGGUUACUGUUUUCAGGCAGCAUGCUAGUAGACUAGCUGCUCUUAAUGACAGAUUGAUUGGUAUCAAAGUGGGUAACUUCUGCCAUGUCAAGGAAGGACUUGUUCUUGGGCAGCUCCUAGGUAACAGAUUCACAGUCACCUUACGAGGAGUCAUUGCAGAUUCUGAAACUACCAUCAAAGGUUCUGCAGAUUCAUUAGGAAGGCAUGGCUUCAUCAAUUACUUUGGUUUACAGCGUUUUGGUAGUGGUUCUGUGCCAACACAUCUAAUUGGGGCUGCAUUGCUCCGAGGAGAGUGGAAAAGUGCUGCAAGCAUGAUCCUUGAUCCAAGAGAAGGGGAAAGAGAUGUGGUGAGGAAGGCACGAGAAUAUUAUAGAGAAAGCAAUGAUAUUGAAGGGACCCUAAGGCAAUUACCUCGGCACUUGAUUGCUGAAAGGGCCAUACUUCAGUGUUUGAAGAAAUGUCCUGGGAACUACUUGCUGGCCCUGAAAGCUAUACCUAGAACUUUGAGGAUGAUGUAUGUGCACAGUUAUCAAAGCUAUUUAUGGAACCAUGCCGCAAGUGUGAGAGUACAAAAAUAUGGAAUUGACCGAGUUGUGGUGGGGGACUUGGUGUAUUGCAAAGGAGAUGAUACUGCAAGAGAGACAUCAGGAUUUAAUUCGGAAUGUGAAGAUCAUAGCUGUGAUGACAUGUAUGAUUGCAGUAAUUUAGAUGAAACCUCUGGAACAUAUGUUCCUGAAUGGAAAAACACUCCUGUUAAGGCAGUAACUGCAGAAGAUAUCUCUUCUGGAAAUUAUACUAUUGAUGAUGUGAUCCUUCCUGUGCCUGGCUCUAGGGUGUCUUAUCCAACAAAUGACAUUGCCAAAGUUUAUCAUGAUUUGUCAAAGAAGGAUGCUAUCAAUUUGGCUGAGAGUGUGCAUAGUGUCAAGGAAUUUUCAAUAACUAGCAUGACUGGAAGUUAUAGGCGUGUUUUUCAGAAGCCAAUGGACUUUGAAUGGGAAUUACUCUCAUAUACUGAUGGUAAUAUACCAUUGGCAGAGACAGAUUUUGACAGAAUUGCCAAGGUUAAAUCUAAGAGCUUAUUCAAAGAAGAAGAACAAGCCAAUGGAGAUGAGAAUAAAAACCCAUCUGAUUGCAUGGGACCACCAGCGAGCUUUCAAAAUAAUAUACAUGUAUCAACAGAUUAUAAUGAGACUGAGGGUGAGCGAGAAGUAGGGCGAGCAGAAGUUGAGUCUCUAUGCAACUCUAAUUCACAGGAAGCCCAAAUGGCUCUCAAGUUAAGCUUCACUCUUCCAGCUUCAUCUUAUGCAACAAUGGCCAUUAGAGAGCUGCUGAAGACAUCAACAUCUGUUGCAUUCCACAAAACAUUAAACCAGUAAGAUCAUAGACAUUUGUGGUGUCCAAACUGACAUUAUGCUUUUUCGGAGAUCAAAGGUUAGUUUUAGUGGAUGAUUAAAGUUCAAGUUUGUUGCUUGUGACACUUCUGGGAAAAGCUGUUAUUAACUAUUUGCAAAUGAAGGAAAAAAAAUUUUGAGGAUGCAUUCUUCCUUUGUCUGCAAUUGUUGGUGGCCAGAAAUCUUCAAAUGAAACUGAUUUCAUAGCUUCACAAGAAGAGUUGCUAUGUAAAAAGUUUUUAUGGGUGAACUUAAAUUUGAUGCUCCCUUGCAGCGACACUGGAUUCAUAAAUUUUUAGCUGGCGUUUUUCUUUGAUAGCAUAGCAUCGUAGCAACCAACUUUGUAUUUUGGUUAUUCCUUCCAAAAGCUUUGUUUGGCGUAGAGAACCACAUUGGAAUUUAGAUAACCAAUUUGUAUAGAUUCAAAUGGGGCUGCUGUCAAAAAAUUCAGAAAACUUGGAACAAAAAUGUUUCCAAGAUCGUUUGUGGACAAGAAAAGUUUGCUUUGGUUGGGAAAACUAGAGCUGGUUGGGCUCUUGGCAUCACAGUCACUGUCCUUUGAUCUGGUUGGUUUAUAGAGCGUGAUGGUCUUGGUUUUCAUAAGCAAUGGGUGUUGGGUGAGGAUGAACCUUGAAUCUGAGCAUCUUGCUGGGCACUCCAUUUGUUGAAGCUGUUCCGUUGCCUUGGGGUUUCAUGCUCCUUUUGGGUCUGUAUUUGGGUUCACUUUUGUGAUCUGAAUUGAGCCCUAGAAGAAGAUUCUAUGUUCGCCAAGUGAUUACGGGUUGCCAGUUGGACCUGUCUUCCUCUCCAAUUACUCAGCGAAGGCAUAGGCCAUCCACUUUUUUAUACAAAAUUGGCAGGGGCCUGCAAAAGUCUCCUCUCAUCAACCCAUCUUCCAUUUCCCAAAAAUAACAGGCAAAGAUUCUUUCUCCGAUGAAACCUUCUACGCUACUAGUGUUUCUUUGCUAGGUAACGUCCUCGAAAUUUAGGAGUCCACCUCCACCACCCAAUUCUUGAAUUCAUUAGGUGAAGCAUAUAGGGCACAAUUGAUUUAUUUUGUAAGUAGUAAAGGAAAUCAUCGUUUUAUAGUGUUAA